RNAcentral lists this ribosomal RNA (862 nucleotides) under uncultured bacterium. RNAcentral describes it as "bacterial SSU rRNA". It matches the Rfam family "Bacterial small subunit ribosomal RNA", at positions 631 to 1504 of the family's 1533-position model. The record is from RNAcentral.
AACUUUUCAGCUAGAGUUUGAUAGAGGAAAGCAGAAUUUCUAGUGUAGAGGUGAAAUUCGUAGAUAUUAGAAAGAAUACCAAUUGCGAAGGCAGCUUUCUGGAUCAUUACUGACACUGAGGAACGAAAGCAUGGGUAGCGAAGAGGAUUAGAUACCCUCGUAGUCCAUGCCGUAAACAAUGUGUGUUAGACGUUGGAAAUUUAUUUUCAGUGUCGCAGCGAAAGCGAUAAACACACCGCCUGGGGAGUACGACCGCAAGGUUAAAACUCAAAUGAAUUGACGGGGACCCGCACAAGUAGUGGAGCAUGUGGUUUAAUUCGAAGAUACGCGCAGAACCUUACCAACACUUGACAUGUUCGUCGCGACUUUAAGAGAUUAAAGUUUUCGGUUCGGCCGGACGAAACACAGGUGCUGCAUGGCUGUCGUCAGCUCGUGUCGUGAGAUGUUGGGUUAAGUCCCGCAACGAGCGCAACCCUCACUUUUAGUUGCCAUCAUUAAGUUGGGCACUCUGAAAGAACUGCCAGUGAUAAGCUGGAGGAAGGUGGGGAUGACGUCAAGUCCUCAUGGCCCUUACGUGUUGGGCUACACACGUGCUACAAUGGUAUCUACAACAGGAAGCAAAACGGCGACGUUAAGCAAAUCCUUAAAAGAUACCUCAGUUCGGAUUGCACUCUGCAACUCGAGUGCAUGAAGCUGGAAUUACUAGUAAUCGUGGAUCAGCGUGCCACGGUGAAUGCGUUCCCGGGUCUUGUACACACCGCCCGUCACACCAUGGGAGUUGGUUCUACCUUAAGGCAAGGUUUAAAGCCCUUGACCACGGUAUAGUCAGCGACUGGGGUGAAGUCGUAACAAGGUAACCGUA